This is a long non-coding RNA of Drosophila nasuta, 1430 nucleotides long. RefSeq lists it as uncharacterized. NCBI's taxonomy places the organism in Eukaryota, Metazoa, Arthropoda, Insecta, Diptera, Drosophilidae. The transcript has 2 exons. The record is from RefSeq and is a predicted model, not a curated record.
AGAAACUUGUAGACACCAUCGAUGCGUUGCUGCUCAUCCAAUUCAUAGCAAUCGGACUUGGCAGGCUGGAAAUAAACUACGAAAAGAGCAGACCAAAGUACGCACAUGGGUUAUACGGCUGUCCCGCUCUCACUUAUGGAACAGCAUAGGCAAUUCCGCAUCAGUGUUGCAAUGUGUGCAAGUGAGAUGAGAUUUUAAUCGUUACUCAGGCACAAAUGGCAACACCCAUCAGUGAAUAAACGUUACUACUUAAAAUACAACUCUGCAUCUAGUACUUUAUUUUUGUUUUUAUUCUUGCCCAGCAGUGUUGAUGACAUAUGUACGUACAAAAUACAAUACUAAUGGCUAAUAAGUAAAAUGCUGGAAACGAAAAUAAUAAUUGCUAAUUGGUUAACUGCUAAACAGUAAUGUAUUAUGAAUUAAUUUAUGUAUUUCUAUUUCAUUUUAGAGAACUCAGGCAUAAGUUCAUUUGGUUUGCAGUAAUCGUAACUACAGUGUAAUUAUUCUGAAAUAAAGAAAAAUUGUUUUUAAUUAUACAGUUGUAAUUUAGGAUAAUGCAUUACACCCGCUACCCGCUACAAGGAUGUUAUAAUUAUUAUUUUUAUAGGGCCAACGGAAGACUAAAAGACAGACUGAGCCGUUUGAUAUCAUGAUGUGUGUCUGAUCUCGGAGAUUAUAAUAAAACUCCUAGGUGGAUUAAUAUUGUGUCAAAUUUUGAAAUAGAUAAUGGUUUUUUUGGAAUAUCAGAAAAUUAAUCGCAGCUUGAUCCAUUUUAAUGAAAGCGGGCAGCGGGUAUUUAACACAUUCGACUUUGGCGUUGGCGUUCUACUGAUUUUGCAAACUAACUUUUUAUGACAAACCCAUUGAAUGAAUACUGUUCUAUCUGCUUCGUGGGUGUAAACUCGACUCUUUCAAUCACACUGGCGGGACUGCCUUUGGUCUCAAGCCAAUGUUUCCUGCAAACGACUUUCAAUUAAGAAGGCACCGAAUAAAGCAAUUUUCCAAUUUACAUUUGAUUCAGAGGAAUAAGAGGUGCUUCCAAUUCGCCCUUAACUGUUCCAUUGAUGGUAUUAACGCACCAGCCUCGUACUCCUAAGGUGUUUGCCUUCCUCUCCGUGUACUAUAAUCACAUAUGAACCAAAUGGAAUGUCCAUGACCCUUAUAAUCAUAAGUCCUAGUUAAAUAAUUUGACGCUCUUACCUUGCGAAAGAAGACACCUGCAAAGUAGGAAAGUGAAAUUAUAAAUUUACAAAGGUGAAAGAAGCGAUUUGGGAUCAACAGACGGGAUCAUUAUUAUAAUACCUUGGACUUUUCCAAAUACUUCAAAGCAACACGUAUAUAAUGCUGACGACGACAUUUUAUUUCCCGUUGCUGGAGAAGAUAUUAGUGCGAUUGCAAUUAAUAUUAUUUGUAUUUUGACAACUAAAUCU